AUUCUAGAGCUAAUACAUGCUGUAAGCCCGACUUUUCGGAAGGGCCGUAUUUAUUAGAUAACAGACCAAUGCCCCCCCGGGCUUUGUGGUGACUCAUAGUAACUAAUCGGAUCGCAUGGGCCUGUCCCGCGACAAACCAUUCAAGUUUCUGCCCCAUCAGCUUUCGAUGGUAGUGUAUUGGACUACCAUGGCUUUUACGGGUAACGGAGGAUUAGGGUUCGAUUCCGGAGAGGGAGCCUGAGAAACGGCUACCACAUCUAAGGAAGGCAGCAGGCGCGUAAAUUACCCAAUCCUAAUUCAGGGAGGUAGUG
Molecule: ribosomal RNA, 311 nt
Filed under: uncultured Spirotrichea
Lineage: Eukaryota; Ciliophora; Spirotrichea
Description: SSU rRNA
Rfam family: Eukaryotic small subunit ribosomal RNA
Source: RNAcentral